UAGCCUACGGGAGGCAGCAGUGAGGAAUAUUGGUCAAUGGUCGGGAGACUGAACCAGCCAAGCCGCGUGAGGGAUGAAGGUACAGAGUAUCGUAAACCUCUUUUGUCAGGGAACAAAGGCGGGGACGUGUCCCCGGAUGAGUGUACCUGAAGAAAAAGCAUCGGCUAACUCCGUGCCAGCAGCCGCGGUAAUACGGAGGAUGCGAGCGUUAUCCGGAUUUAUUGGGUUUAAAGGGAGCGCAGGCGGGCUGUUAAGUCAGCGGACAAAGCCAGGGGCUCAACCCCGGCCCGCCGUUGAAACUGGAG
Molecule: ribosomal RNA, 305 nt
Filed under: uncultured bacterium
Lineage: Bacteria
Description: bacterial SSU rRNA
Rfam family: Bacterial small subunit ribosomal RNA
Source: RNAcentral